Molecule: ribosomal RNA, 498 nt
Filed under: uncultured bacterium
Lineage: Bacteria
Description: partial 16S ribosomal RNA
Rfam family: Bacterial small subunit ribosomal RNA
Source: RNAcentral
AUUGAACGCUGGCGGCAUGCCUUACACAUGCAAGUCGAACGGUAACAGGUCUUCGGAUGCUGACGAGUGGCGAACGGGUGAGUAAUACAUCGGAACGUGCCUAGUAGUGGGGGAUAACUACUCGAAAGAGUGGCUAAUACCGCAUGAGAUCUACGGAUGAAAGCAGGGGAUCGCAAGACCUUGUGCUACUAGAGCGGCCGAUGGCAGAUUGGGUAGUUGGUGGGAUAAAAGCUUACCAAGCCGACGAUCUGUAGCUGGUCUGAGAGGACGAUCAGCCACACUGGGACUGAGACACGGCCCAGACUCCUACGGGAGGCAGCAGUGGGGAAUUCUGGACAAUGGGCGAAAGCCUGAUCCAGCAAUGCCGCGUGCAGGAUGAAGGCCUUCGGGUUGUAAACUGCUUUUGUACGGAACGAAAAGCCCCGGGUUAAUACCCUGGGGUCAUGACGGUGCCGUAAGAAUAAGCACCGGCUAACUACGUGCCAGCCGCCGCCGUAA